Molecule: long non-coding RNA, 121 nt
Filed under: Canis lupus familiaris (dog)
Lineage: Eukaryota; Metazoa; Chordata; Mammalia; Carnivora; Canidae
Description: lncRNA (ENSCAFG00030003457.1)
Source: RNAcentral
AAUAUGUAGACAAUUUUACUCUCAGCUUAAAACCAAGCCAGAAACAUGGCACAAUGCAUAGAAGGAAAUUUAGAAGAUUACAUGGAUUGGUGAGUAACAGUUAAAAAAAGAAAAACACCAA